UUUAACUGAGCGUUCAGUUACUUGACGUAGACCCGAAACCGGGCGACCUACCCAUGAGCAGGAUGAAGCGAAAGUAAAAUUUCGUGGAGGUCCGAACCCACGAGCGUUGAAAAGCUCGGGGAUGACUUGUGGGUAGCGGUGAAAUUCCAAUCGAGCCCGGAGAUAGCUGGUUCUCCCCGAAAUAGCUUUAGGGCUAGCCUCAAGGUGAGAGAUACGGAGGUAGAGCACUGAAUGUCCUAGGGGGUAUUGCACCUACCGAAGACUAUCAAACUCCGAAUGCCGUCAUCUUAUACUUGGGAGUCAGACUGUGGGUGAUAAGAUUCAUAGUCGAAAGGGCAACAGCCCAGAUCGUCAGCUAAGGUCCCUAAAUGUAAGUUAAGUGGUAAAGGAUGUGGGAUUGCACAGACAACCAGGAUGUUGGCUUAGAAGCAGCCACUCAUUCAAAGAGUGCGUAAUAGCUCACUGGUCGAGUGAUCCUGCGCCGAAGAUUUCCGGGGCUAAAACUUACUACCGAAGCUACGGCAUCAGUAAUGAUGGGUAGGGGAGCUUCCCAUACGGGUUGAAGCAUGACCGUAAGGACAUGUGGACAGUAUGGGAGUGAGAAUGUUGGCAUGAGUAGCGAGAUGUGGGUGAGAAUCCCACAGGCCGUAAACCCAAGGUUUCCAGGGGAAGGUUCGUCCGCCCUGGGUUAGUCGGGACCUAAGCUGAGGCCGAAAGGCGUAGGUGAUGGACAACAGGUUGAUAUUCCUGUACUACCGAUAACCGUUUGAGAGAAGGGAUGACACAGUAGGAUAAGCUAAGCACACUGUUGGUUAUGUGUGCCCAAGCAUUGAGGCAGUCAAAGUAGGCAAAUCCGCUUUGAUAAUGCUGGGAUGUGAUGGGGAGCGAAAUUUAGUAGCGAAGUAGCUGAUUUCACACUGUCAAGAAAAGUCUCUAUCGAGGUUAAAGGUACCCGUACCGCAAACCGACACAGGUGGGUGAGGAGAGUAUCCUAAGGCCAGCGAGAGAACUGUUGUUAAGGAACUCGGCAAAAUGACCCCGUAACUUAGGGAUAAGGGGUGCCACCAUCAGGUGGCCGCAGAGAAUAGGCCCAAGCGACUGUUUACCAAAAACAUAGGUUUCUGCUAAGUCGCAAGACGAUGUAUAGGAGCUGACGCCUGCCCGGUGCUGGAAGGUUAAGGGGAUCUGUUAGAGCAAUCGAAGCAGUGAACUUAAGCCCCAGUAAACGGCGGCCGUAACUAUAACGGUCCUAAGGUAGCGAAAUUCCUUGUCGGGUAAGUUCCGACCCGCACGAAAGGCGUAACGAUUUGGGCACUGUCUCAACAACAGACUCGGUGAAAUUGUAAUUCCGGUGAAGAUGCCGGAUACCUGCGACAGGACGGAAAGACCCCAUGGAGCUUUACUGUAGCUUGACAUUGGGUCUUGGUACUACAUGUACAGGAUAGGUGGGAGGCUUUGAAACCAGGACGCCAGUUUUGGCGGAGCCAUCCUUGGGAUACCACCCUUGUAGUACUGGGACUCUAACCAUAGGCCAUGAAUCUGGUCUUGGGACACUGUCAGGUGGGCAGUUUGACUGGGGCGGUCGCCUCCCAAAAGGUAACGGAGGCGCUCAAAGGUUCUCUCAGUACGGUCGGAAAUCGUACGUAGAGUGUAAAGGCAAAAGAGAGCUUGAUUGCAAGACAUACAGGUCGAGCAAGGAUGAAAAUCGGACUUAGUGAUCCGGUGGUUCUGCGUGGAAGGGCCAUCGCUCAACGGAUAAAAGCUACCCUGGGGAUAACAGGCUUAUCUCCCCCAAGAGUCCACAUCGACGGGGAGGUUUGGCACCUCGAUGUCGGCUCAUCACAUCCUGGGGCUGUAGUAGGUCCCAAGGGUUGGGCUGUUCGCCCAUUAAAGUGGUACGCGAGCUGGGUUCAGAACGUCGUGAGACAGUUCGGUCCCUAUCCGUCGCAGGCGUAGGAAAUUUGAGAAGACCUGUCCUUAGUACGAGAGGACCGGGAUGGACGUACCUCUGGUGUACCAGUUGUCCUGCCAAGGGCAUGGCUGGGUAG
RNAcentral lists this ribosomal RNA (2048 nucleotides) under Clostridioides difficile. RNAcentral's name for it is "partial 23S ribosomal RNA". It matches the Rfam family "Bacterial large subunit ribosomal RNA", at positions 683 to 2748 of the family's 2925-position model. Lineage: Bacteria; Bacillati; Bacillota; Clostridia; Peptostreptococcales; Peptostreptococcaceae. The record is from RNAcentral.